This 31-nucleotide non-coding RNA is filed under the name Homo sapiens (human). The record is from RNAcentral. Lineage: Eukaryota; Metazoa; Chordata; Mammalia; Primates; Hominidae.
UGCUUUCAGAACUCAGCUGCCUCACCUCUGU